GAUUAACGCUGGCGGCGUGCAUAACACAUGCAAGUCGAACGAUGAAACUUUAAUGAACCCUUCGGGGAGAAUUAAAGCGGAUUAGUGGCGAACGGGUGAGUAACGCGUGAGUAACCUGCCUUACACAAGGGGAUAGCCUUUGGAAACGAAGAAUAAUACCCUAUAAAACCAUAAAAGCACAUGCAAUUAUGGUCAAAGUGAUAGCGGUGUAAGAUGGACUUGCGUCUGAUUAGCUAGUUGGUGAGAUAAAAGCCCACCAAGGCAACGAUCAGUAGCCGGCUUGAGAGAGUAUACGGCCACAUUGGGACUGAGACACGGCCCAGACUCCUACGGGAGGCAGCAGUGGGGAAUUUUGCACAAUGGGGGAAACCCUGAUGCAGCGACGCCGCGUGAUUUAGAAGGCCUUCGGGUUGUAAAAAUCUUUUGUAUAGGAAGAAAAUGACAGUACUAUACGAAUAAGGUCCGGCUAAUUACGUGCCAGCAGCCGCGGUAAUACGUAAGGACCGAGCGUUGUCCGGAAUCAUUGGGCGUAAAGGGUACGUAGGCGGCUAGAAAAGUUAGAAGUCAAAGGCUAUAGCUCAACUAUAGUAAGCUUCUAAAACUAUUUAGCUUGAGAGAUGGAAGGGAAAGUGGAAUUCCUAGUGUAGCGGUGGAAUGCGCAGAUAUUAGGAGGAAUACCGGUGGCGAAGGCGACUUUCUGGCCAUUUUCUGACGCUGAGGUACGAAAGCGUGGGUAGCAAACAGGAUUAGAUACCCUGGUAGUCCACGCCGUAAACGAUGAGUGUUAGAUGUCUGGAGUCAAAUCUGGGUGCCGCAGCAAACGCAUUAACACUCCGCCUGGGGAGUACGCACGCAAGUGUGAAACUCAAAGGAAUUGACGGGGACCCGCACAAGCAGCGGAGCAUGUGGUUUAAUUCGACGCAACGCGAAGAACCUUACCAAGUCUUGACAUAUUUUAGAAGCAAUUAGAGAUAAUUGCCUAUAUCUUCGGAUAACUAAAAUACAGGUGGUGCAUGGUUGUCGUCAGCUCGUGUCGUGAGAUGUUGGGUUAAGUCCCAUAACGAGCGCAACCCCUAUUGCUAGUUACCAUCAUUAAGUUGGGGACUCUAGUAAUACUGCCGGUGACAAACCGGAGGAAGGUGGGGAUGACGUCAAAUCAUCAUGCCCUUUAUGACUUGGGCUACACACGUGCUACAAUGGCAGGUACACAGGGAAGCAAGACUGUGAAGUUAAGCAAAACUCAAAAAGCCUGUCCCAGUUCGGAUUGCACUCUGCAACUCGAGUGCAUGAAGUUGGAGUUGCUAGUAAUCGCAGAUCAGAAUGCUGCGGUGAAUGCGUUCCCGGGUCU
This 1348-nucleotide ribosomal RNA is filed under the name uncultured bacterium. Its description in RNAcentral is "bacterial SSU rRNA". It matches the Rfam family "Bacterial small subunit ribosomal RNA", at positions 28 to 1381 of the family's 1533-position model. The record is from RNAcentral.